GAUGAACGCUGGCGGCAUGCUUUACACAUGCCAGUCGGACGGGAAGUGGUGGUUCCCGUGGCGGUCGGGUGAGUAACGCGUAAGAACUUGCCCUUGGGAGGGGAACAACAGCUGGAAACGGUUGCUAAUACCCCGUUGGCUGAGGAGCGAAAGGAGGAAUCCGCCUAAGGAGGGGCGCGCGUCUGGUUAGCUAGGUGGUGGGGUAAUAGCUUACCAAGGCGGUGAUCAGUAGCUGGUCCGAGGGGAUGAUCGGCCACACUGGGACGGGGACAAGGCGCAGACUCCUUCGGGAGACGGCAGAGGGGAAUAUUCCGCAAUGGGGGAUAGGCUGACAGGGCAAUGCGGCGGGGAAGUAAAAGGACUACGGGUCAUGAACUUCUUUUCCUGGAGAAGAAACAAUGACGGUAUCUGGAGAAUAAGCAUCGGCUAACUCCGUG
This 437-nucleotide ribosomal RNA is filed under the name uncultured bacterium. Its description in RNAcentral is "partial 16S ribosomal RNA". It matches the Rfam family "Bacterial small subunit ribosomal RNA", at positions 28 to 507 of the family's 1533-position model. The record is from RNAcentral.